This 2128-nucleotide ribosomal RNA is filed under the name Escherichia coli. RNAcentral describes it as "partial 23S ribosomal RNA". It matches the Rfam family "Bacterial large subunit ribosomal RNA", at positions 821 to 2925 of the family's 2925-position model. Lineage: Bacteria; Pseudomonadati; Pseudomonadota; Gammaproteobacteria; Enterobacterales; Enterobacteriaceae. The record is from RNAcentral.
GUGAAAGGCCAAUCAAACCGGGAGAUAGCUGGUUCUCCCCGAAAGCUAUUUAGGUAGCGCCUCGUGAAUUCAUCUCCGGGGGUAGAGCACUGUUUCGGCAAGGGGGUCAUCCCGACUUACCAACCCGAUGCAAACUGCGAAUACCGGAGAAUGUUAUCACGGGAGACACACGGCGGGUGCUAACGUCCGUCGUGAAGAGGGAAACAACCCAGACCGCCAGCUAAGGUCCCAAAGUCAUGGUUAAGUGGGAAACGAUGUGGGAAGGCCCAGACAGCCAGGAUGUUGGCUUAGAAGCAGCCAUCAUUUAAAGAAAGCGUAAUAGCUCACUGGUCGAGUCGGCCUGCGCGGAAGAUGUAACGGGGCUAAACCAUGCACCGAAGCUGCGGCAGCGACACUAUGUGUUGUUGGGUAGGGGAGCGUUCUGUAAGCCUGUGAAGGUGGCCUGUGAGGGUUGCUGGAGGUAUCAGAAGUGCGAAUGCUGACAUAAGUAACGAUAAAGCGGGUGAAAAGCCCGCUCGCCGGAAGACCAAGGGUUCCUGUCCAACGUUAAUCGGGGCAGGGUGAGUCGACCCCUAAGGCGAGGCCGAAAGGCGUAGUCGAUGGGAAACAGGUUAAUAUUCCUGUACUUGGUGUUACUGCGAAGGGGGGACGGAGAAGGCUAUGUUGGCCGGGCGACGGUUGUCCCGGUUUAAGCGUGUAGGCUGGUUUUCCAGGCAAAUCCGGAAAAUCAAGGCUGAGGCGUGAUGACGAGGCACUACGGUGCUGAAGCGACAAAUGCCCUGCUUCCAGGAAAAGCCUCUAAGCAUCAGGUAACAUCAAAUCGUACCCCAAACCGACACAGGUGGUCAGGUAGAGAAUACCAAGGCGCUUGAGAGAACUCGGGUGAAGGAACUAGGCAAAAUGGUGCCGUAACUUCGGGAGAAGGCACGCUGAUAUGUAGGUGAAGCGACUUGCUCGUGGAGCUGAAAUCAGUCGAAGAUACCAGCUGGCUGCAACUGUUUAUUAAAAACACAGCACUGUGCAAACACGAAAGUGGACGUAUACGGUGUGACGCCUGCCCGGUGCCGGAAGGUUAAUUGAUGGGGUUAGCGGUAACGCGAAGCUCUUGAUCGAAGCCCCGGUAAACGGCGGCCGUAACUAUAACGGUCCUAAGGUAGCGAAAUUCCUUGUCGGGUAAGUUCCGACCUGCACGAAUGGCGUAAUGAUGGCCAGGCUGUCUCCACCCGAGACUCAGUGAAAUUGAACUCGCUGUGAAGAUGCAGUGUACCCGCGGCAAGACGGAAAGACCCCGUGAACCUUUACUAUAGCUUGACACUGAACAUUGAGCCUUGAUGUGUAGGAUAGGUGGGAGGCUUUGAAGUGUGGACGCCAGUCUGCAUGGAGCCGACCUUGAAAUACCACCCUUUAAUGUUUGAUGUUCUAACGUGGGCCCCUUACCGGGGUUGCGGACAGUGUCUGGUGGGUAGUUUGACUGGGGCGGUCUCCUCCUAAAGAGUAACGGAGGAGCACGAAGGUUGGCUAAUCCUGGUCGGACAUCAGGAGGUUAGUGCAAUGGCAUAAGCCAGCUUGACUGCGAGCGUGACGGCGCGAGCAGGUGCGAAAGCAGGUCAUAGUGAUCCGGUGGUUCUGAAUGGAAGGGCCAUCGCUCAACGGAUAAAAGGUACUCCGGGGAUAACAGGCUGAUACCGCCCAAGAGUUCAUAUCGACGGCGGUGUUUGGCACCUCGAUGUCGGCUCAUCACAUCCUGGGGCUGAAGUAGGUCCCAAGGGUAUGGCUGUUCGCCAUUUAAAGUGGUACGCGAGCUGGGUUUAGAACGUCGUGAGACAGUUCGGUCCCUAUCUGCCGUGGGCGCUGGAGAACUGAGGGGGGCUGCUCCUAGUACGAGAGGACCGGAGUGGACGCAUCACUGGUGUUCGGGUUGUCAUGCCAAUGGCACUGCCCGGUAGCUAAAUGCGGAAGAGAUAAGUGCUGAAAGCAUCUAAGCACGAAACUUGCCCCGAGAUGAGUUCUCCCUGACUCCUUGAGAGUCCUGAAGGAACGUUGAAGACGACGACGUUGAUAGGCCGGGUGUGUAAGCGCAGCGAUGCGUUGAGCUAACCGGUACUAAUGAACCGUGAGGCUUAACCUU